UGAAGAGGGAAACAACCCAGACCGCCAGCUAAGGUCCCAAAGUCAUGGUUAAGUGGGAAACGAUGUGGGAAGGCCCAGACAGCCAGGAUGUUGGCUUAGAAGCAGCCAUCAUUUAAAGAAAGCGUAAUAGCUCACUGGUCGAGUCGGCCUGCGCGGAAGAUGUAACGGGGCUAAACCAUGCACCGAAGCUGCGGCAGCGACGCUUAUGCGUUGUUGGGUAGGGGAGCGUUCUGUAAGCCUGCGAAGGUGUGCUGUGAGGCAUGCUGGAGGUAUCAGAAGUGCGAAUGCUGACAUAAGUAACGAUAAAGCGGGUGAAAAGCCCGCUCGCCGGAAGACCAAGGGUUCCUGUCCAACGUUAAUCGGGGCAGGGUGAGUCGACCCCUAAGGCGAGGCCGAAAGGCGUAGUCGAUGGGAAACAGGUUAAUAUUCCUGUACUUGGUGUUACUGCGAAGGGGGGACGGAGAAGGCUAUGUUGGCCGGGCGACGGUUGUCCCGGUUUAAGCGUGUAGGCUGGUUUUCCAGGCAAAUCCGGAAAAUCAAGGCUGAGGCGUGAUGACGAGGCACUACGGUGCUGAAGCAACAAAUGCCCUGCUUCCAGGAAAAGCCUCUAAGCAUCAGGUAACAUCAAAUCGUACCCCAAACCGACACAGGUGGUCAGGUAGAGAAUACCAAGGCGCUUGAGAGAACUCGGGUGAAGGAACUAGGCAAAAUGGUGCCGUAACUUCGGGAGAAGGCACGCUGAUAUGUAGGUGAAGUCCCUCGCGGAUGGAGCUGAAAUCAGUCGAAGAUACCAGCUGGCUGCAACUGUUUAUUAAAAACACAGCACUGUGCAAACACGAAAGUGGACGUAUACGGUGUGACGCCUGCCCGGUGCCGGAAGGUUAAUUGAUGGGGUCAGCGCAAGCGAAGCUCUUGAUCGAAGCCCCGGUAAACGGCGGCCGUAACUAUAACGGUCCUAAGGUAGCGAAAUUCCUUGUCGGGUAAGUUCCGACCUGCACGAAUGGCGUAAUGAUGGCCAGGCUGUCUCCACCCGAGACUCAGUGAAAUUGAACUCGCUGUGAAGAUGCAGUGUACCCGCGGCAAGACGGAAAGACCCCGUGAACCUUUACUAUAGCUUGACACUGAACAUUGAGCCUUGAUGUGUAGGAUAGGUGGGAGGCUUUGAAGUGUGGACGCCAGUCUGCAUGGAGCCGACCUUGAAAUACCACCCUUUAAUGUUUGAUGUUCUAACGUUGACCCGUAAUCCGGGUUGCGGACAGUGUCUGGUGGGUAGUUUGACUGGGGCGGUCUCCUCCUAAAGAGUAACGGAGGAGCACGAAGGUUGGCUAAUCCUGGUCGGACAUCAGGAGGUUAGUGCAAUGGCAUAAGCCAGCUUGACUGCGAGCGUGACGGCGCGAGCAGGUGCGAAAGCAGGUCAUAGUGAUCCGGUGGUUCUGAAUGGAAGGGCCAUCGCUCAACGGAUAAAAGGUACUCCGGGGAUAACAGGCUGAUACCGCCCAAGAGUUCAUAUCGACGGCGGUGUUUGGCACCUCGAUGUCGGCUCAUCACAUCCUGGGGCUGAAGUAGGUCCCAAGGGUAUGGCUGUUCGCCAUUUAAAGUGGUACGCGAGCUGGGUUUAGAACGUCGUGAGACAGUUCGGUCCCUAUCUGCCGUGGGCGCUGGAGAACUGAGGGGGGCUGCUCCUAGUACGAGAGGACCGGAGUGGACGCAUCACUGGUGUUCGGGUUGUCAUGCCAAU
Molecule: ribosomal RNA, 1738 nt
Filed under: Escherichia coli
Lineage: Bacteria; Pseudomonadati; Pseudomonadota; Gammaproteobacteria; Enterobacterales; Enterobacteriaceae
Description: partial 23S ribosomal RNA
Rfam family: Bacterial large subunit ribosomal RNA
Source: RNAcentral